RNAcentral lists this unclassified non-coding RNA (222 nucleotides) under plant metagenome. Its description in RNAcentral is "partial contains small subunit ribosomal RNA, internal transcribed spacer 1, and 5.8S ribosomal RNA". The record is from RNAcentral.
UUUCCGUAGGUGAACCUGCGGAAGGAUCAUUAAAGAACGCCCCGUUUUCUGAAAUGGGUAAUUCUAAACCGUGUAUACAUACCUUUGUUGCGUUGGCGGCCCGCCCCUCAGCGCGCCGGGUCCGGCUGACUGAGCCUGCCAUAGGACCCAAACUCUUUUGUUUAGUGUUGUCUGAGUACUAUAUAAUAGUUAAAACUUUCAACAACGGAUCUCUUGGUUCUG